AAUUUCCAAGGACUGACCGCACUCCACCGAGGAUAACAGCCCACAUCCCUCGGCAACUCCUACAAUCACGCAUACAAUCAUGCAACGCAUGCAAUCUGAACUACAAUCGGUUAACCUCUCUCCCUUCAUUAGCGCUCACCUCUCAAUCCCAUCAAUUCCUGUACGAAACCUCCAUCCAAAAGCGAGAAAUUCUCAAGAGCAUGCAAGCCACCCGACAAUGCAAGCGAGCCGCUGCCACCGGGAUGUGCGAGGAGCCCGUCGUUGAGGAACCCAAAGCAACGCAUGAGGGAGGAAGAACAGGGCACACAUAGGAGAAGACGCGCCCAACGUUGCUCCAGGCAACGCGGGCCGACCCUGUCCGGCGCCGGCGGCGCAUGUCCCCAAGGAUCGAGGGGCGAACGCUCCCAUGAAUUUAGGUUGAUUGAUCUCCACUACUAUUAAACAAUCAAACAAAAACUUUUUUACGUGCACCCCGCAAUUAGUCCCACAAUACCCCACGACCCAGUUAGCACCACCCGAUUUGUCCAUAGAUCUCGAUCUAACAGCCGUCAUUGAUCUAACAAUUUUAUGGUGUGAACUUAGCAAUUUCCAAGGACUGACCACACUCCACCGAGGAUAACAGCCCACAUCCCUCGGCAACUCCUACAAUCACGCAUACAAUCAUGCAACGUAUGCAAUCUGAACUACAAUCGGUUAACCUCUCUCCCUUCAUUAGCGCUCACCUCUCAAUCCCAUCAAUUCCCGUACGAAACCUCCAUCCAAAAGCGAGAAAUUCUCAAGAGCAUGCAAG
This 790-nucleotide long non-coding RNA is filed under the name Triticum aestivum (bread wheat). Its description in RNAcentral is "long non-coding RNA (TAES_LNC025884)". Lineage: Eukaryota; Viridiplantae; Streptophyta; Magnoliopsida; Poales; Poaceae. The record is from RNAcentral.